GGGUGCGAUCAUACCAGCACUAAUGCACGGGAUCCCAUCAGAACUCCGAAGUUAAACGUGCUUGGGCGAGAGUAUUACAAAGAUGGGUGUCCUCUUGGGAAGUCCUCGUGUUGCACCAC
This 119-nucleotide ribosomal RNA is filed under the name Ricinus communis (castor bean). The record is from RNAcentral. Lineage: Eukaryota; Viridiplantae; Streptophyta; Magnoliopsida; Malpighiales; Euphorbiaceae.